GUCUAUUUGAAGUUAUAGAUAGUCUAACCUGCUCACUGACGGAGAAAGUUUAAGAGCCGCGGUAUUCUGACCGUGCAAAGGUAGCAUAAUCAUUAGUUUCUUAAUUAGAAACUUGUAUGAAGGGUUGAACAAAAGAAGAGCUGUCUCUGAUGUAGAAGUAGAAUUUAACUUUUAAGUGAAAAGGCUUAAAUUGUUCAAGGGGACGAUAAGACCCUAUAAAGCUUUAUAUUGUUAGCUGUGAUUUAAUUAAAUUAAGAAAAAAUAAAGGUUUUAAUAGGCUAUUAUAUUUUAUUGGGGAGGUAUAAGUAUAAUUUUUAUGUAACUGCUUAUAGUUAAAUACAUUAAUAAUUGGUUUGAUUUUCAAUGAUCCUUUGAUAAAGAUUAAAGACCAAGUUACUUUAGGGAUAACAGCGUUAUUUUUUUUGAGAGUUCAUAUCGAAAAAAAAGUUUGCGACCUCGAUGUUGAAUUAAAUUAUCUUCACAGUGCAGCCGUUGUGAGAGAGGGUCUGUUCGAC
Molecule: ribosomal RNA, 515 nt
Filed under: Platepistoma guezei
Lineage: Eukaryota; Metazoa; Arthropoda; Malacostraca; Decapoda; Cancridae
Description: partial large subunit ribosomal RNA
Rfam family: Bacterial large subunit ribosomal RNA
Source: RNAcentral